UACGUAAGGUGCGAGCGUUAAUCGGAAUUACUGGGCGUAAAGCGUGCGCAGGCGGUUCGUUGUGUCGGUGGUGAAAGCCCCGGGCUCAACCUGGGAAUGGCCAUGGAAACUGGCGAACUGGAGUGUGGCAGAGGGGGGUGGAAUUCCGCGUGUAGCAGUGAAAUGCGUAGAGAUGCGGAGGAACACCGAUGGCGAAGGCAGCCCCCUGGGCUAGCACUGACGCUCAGGCACGAAAGCGUGGGGAGCAAACAGG
Molecule: ribosomal RNA, 253 nt
Filed under: uncultured bacterium
Lineage: Bacteria
Description: partial 16S ribosomal RNA
Rfam family: Bacterial small subunit ribosomal RNA
Source: RNAcentral